This 253-nucleotide ribosomal RNA is filed under the name uncultured bacterium. Its description in RNAcentral is "partial 16S ribosomal RNA". It matches the Rfam family "Bacterial small subunit ribosomal RNA", at positions 524 to 776 of the family's 1533-position model. The record is from RNAcentral.
GACAGAGGUGCCGAGCGUUAGGCGGAAUCACUGGGCUUAAAGCGUGUGUAGGCGGACUCGUAAGUGCUUUGUGAAAUCCCACGGCUCACCCGUGGAACUGCUUGGCAUACUGCGAGCCUUGAGCCACUUAGGGGCAACCGGAACAAACGGUGGAGCGGUGAAAUGCGUAGAUAUCAGGAGGAACACCAAUUGCGAAGGCAGCUCGCUGGGACGUAACUGACGCUGAGACGCGAAAGCGUGGGGAGCAAACAGG